UGGUAAUAGAGGGGAGGUACGUGAGGCGACGUUGGCUCCCUCUGCUAGGAAUAUGGGAGCUGGGCACCCUGACACGGACAGCUCUAAGUGGAGGUAAUUAGAGGAAAGAGCCAACCAGCCGUGGAGGCUAGAUAAAAGGAGUAAAAUGGCACACCGCGGGAGAAAAAGGGGGAGAGACGGACCUCAGUUAACCUCUCUCGGGCAGGUCAGAUGCAUUGUGCCAUUAUCUUGGAGUGCCAACAGAAGAAGAUCAUCAAAGGUAAGGCAUUUUUUACAUCCCUAUUUCUGACUUUCGUGUCGCACCUGCCUGGUUGAAAUAUACUGCUCAAAAAAAUAAAGGGAACACUUAAACAUC
This 355-nucleotide long non-coding RNA is filed under the name Salmo salar (Atlantic salmon). RNAcentral's name for it is "lncRNA (ENSSSAG00000084742.1)". The record is from RNAcentral. Lineage: Eukaryota; Metazoa; Chordata; Actinopteri; Salmoniformes; Salmonidae.